This is a long non-coding RNA of Argiope bruennichi, 1095 nucleotides long. RefSeq lists it as uncharacterized. The record is from RefSeq and is a predicted model, not a curated record. Lineage: Eukaryota; Metazoa; Arthropoda; Arachnida; Araneae; Araneidae. The transcript has 5 exons.
CAAGAAGGGAAAUAUCCCUUAUAAACUGAGAUUUCUUUCAAAUGUAUAAAAAAAAUUCAGAAAUGAAAUUUAACUAUAUCACGGAUUUUCUUAGUUUUAGACAGUUCUAAAAAGUAAAGGAUUUUUUUUUAACUGCAGUUGUCACCUUGAAAAAUUCCUUCCUGUCAAGUUAGAUCUGAAGUAAAUGCACAUUGCGCAUUAAAUGUCGUCUGCCAUCUUCUAAAUAGACUUAUAGAGAAAGGAAAUAAACGUGAGUGAGAUUUCUUGUCGAUCGCUUUUCUUUUAUUCUUGUGGCAUCAGUAAUAAUCGUUGUCGUUUAUGACAUGGAUUGGAAGGUAUUUGACUUGGAGUAACUUUCUUAGAUAAAUGGAAGGAGAGAAAGAGAAAAUGCAUAGUUAAUGCACAUGUCCAGCCAAAAGGAACUAAGACAAAGGGAAAUUUUAGUACUCGGAGAGGGAUACAAUUUUUUUCAGAGUCUACUACAAGGAAAAAUUCCCUCAAAUAAUGCGUCCUAGUGUGUAUGAUACUUAAUACUGAAAUCUAAGGACGCAAGCAAGCAUCUUCCUGUUGGCGACGAAGUUUGUCUGUGGAGUACUCGCGAUCUGAUCAGGAUUGAAAAUUACAAGGGACAGAUAAGCUACACGUGUCAUCUUCCCACGUGAUCCUGACUGUCUACUGAUUCUGCGCCAAAUUGUGAGCUUCUUGUAGAGCAUCAGCAGCAAUCGUCGAUAGGUCAAUCACCCUAUACUUAGUUAUUUCCUGAUGGCACAACAACAUUUCAUUGGAUUCGAAUCGCUCCAGUGUUUGAGAUUUGGACAUCGUAAAUGGUGCAUAUCUUAAUAUUUCUUGAAUUCAGACUCCAUGGUUUGUUCUAAUUAACCCCUUUCUAAAUCCUGCAAGUUCUGCAUUUGAAACCUAUUCGAACAACCGACUGUUCCUUUGCCUUGGAAAUCAAAUCAUGGAGGGGUAUGCAUAUGUGCAAAUAUACUGAGUAUUUUUAUAUUAUAUUGUUUUUUUUAAUUACUAAACGAACAAAGAGUAUUUGCAUGUAAAUUUUAAUUUCAAAACAAUGAUACUUUUUAAUAAUGCAGAAUU